Molecule: ribosomal RNA, 389 nt
Filed under: uncultured bacterium
Lineage: Bacteria
Description: bacterial SSU rRNA
Rfam family: Bacterial small subunit ribosomal RNA
Source: RNAcentral
UCGGGAAUUUUGGGCAAUGGGCGAAAGCCUGACCCAGCAACGCCGCGUGAAGGAUGAAGUAUUUCUGUAUGUAAACUUCGAAAGAAUAGGAAGAAUAAAUGACGGUACUAUUUAUAAGGUCCGGCUAACUACGUGCCAGCAGCCGCGGUAAUACGUAGGGACCAAGCGUUGUUCGGAUUUACUGGGCGUAAAGGGCGCGUAGGCGGCAAUUCAAGUCAUCUGUGAAAUCUCCGGGCUUAACUCGGAACGGUCAGAUGAUACUGCUUUGCUAGAGUGCAGAAGGGGCAAUCGGAAUUCUUGGUGUAGCGGUGAAAUGCGUAGAUAUCAAGAGGAACACCUGAGGUGAAGACGGGUUGCUGGGCUGACACUGACGCUGAGGCGCGAAAGCC